Molecule: long non-coding RNA, 321 nt
Organism: Episyrphus balteatus (marmalade hoverfly)
Lineage: Eukaryota; Metazoa; Arthropoda; Insecta; Diptera; Syrphidae
Exons: 2
Source: RefSeq, a predicted model, not a curated record
ACUGUUACCUAAUUUUUAUAUUCUUAGAAAAAAAAAAUGUCCUAAAAAUCAUAAUUUUUCUAGUGAAACAAAAAAAAAACCAAUAUUAGAAAUUCAAGGAAGCACCGGCAUCAACUUGAGACUAAAACCCUUCAAAUUAUUUAUUCGAAUCUUAUCGUUUUGGCCUGGAUUAUGGUCUUAAAAUGUAUUAAUAUGCGGCUCUUGCGUUUAUCAGCAAAGUAAAUCAGUCGUAAAUGUGUACCUUAAGGAACUUACAAAUCAUUAAUGAUCCUGCAGUAAACUUCUUGUGUCAAUAAAAUGUGGAAAGAUGGGACUUUUGCU